AAUCAACGCUGGCGGCGUGCCUCAGACAUGCAAGUCGAACGCGAAAGUCCCCUUCGGGGGGCGAGUAGAGUGGCGCACGGGUGAGUAACACGUAGGUAAUCUACCUUUGGAUGGGGAAUAACAACCGGAAACGGUUGCUAAUACCGCAUAAUGCAGCGGCACCUAAUGGUGACAGUUGUUAAAGCGGGGGACCGAAAGACCUCGCGUCUGAAGAGGAGCCUGCGGCGGAUUAGCUAGUUGGAAGGUAACGGCUUACCAAGGCAACGAUCCGUAGCCGGCCUGAGAGGGCGGUCGGCCACACUGACACUGACAUACGGGUCAGACUCCUACGGGAGGCAGCAGUC
Molecule: ribosomal RNA, 344 nt
Filed under: uncultured bacterium
Lineage: Bacteria
Description: bacterial SSU rRNA
Rfam family: Bacterial small subunit ribosomal RNA
Source: RNAcentral